GAUGAACGCUAGCGGUAGGCUUAACACAUGCAAGUCGAGGGGCAGCAUGGUCUUAGCUUGCUAAGACGGAUGGCGACCGCCGCACGGGUGCGUCACGCGUAUGCAACUUGCCUCCCAGAGGGGGGUAACCCGUCGAAACACGGACUAAUACCGCGUCCACUCUAUUUUGGGCCUCCCAGGCAGAGGUAAUGAAAUUCGCUGUGUGAUAGGCCUGCGUCCCAUUAACCAGUUGGUGAGGUCACGGCUCACCAAGGCGACGAUGGGUAGGGGAACGGAGGGGUUGGACCCCCACACUGGUACUGAGACACGGACCAGACUCCUACGGGAGGAAGCAGUGAGGAACACUGAUCAACGGGCGAGAGCCUGAACCAGCCGAGUCGCGUGAAGGAUGACUGGCUUAUGGAUUGUAAACUUCUGUUGUAGGGGAAUAAAGCGGGGCACGGGGGCCCCAGUGAAUGUACCCUACGAAUAAGCAUCGGCCAACUCCGUG
RNAcentral lists this ribosomal RNA (490 nucleotides) under uncultured bacterium. Its description in RNAcentral is "partial 16S ribosomal RNA". It matches the Rfam family "Bacterial small subunit ribosomal RNA", at positions 28 to 507 of the family's 1533-position model. The record is from RNAcentral.